This is a non-coding RNA of Triticum urartu, 1741 nucleotides long. Lineage: Eukaryota; Viridiplantae; Streptophyta; Magnoliopsida; Poales; Poaceae. The record is from RefSeq and is a predicted model, not a curated record.
UGCCACGGCGACAAGAUCCUCCCCCCAUUUAUACGCACAGCUCGCUCCAUCCUCAGCAGAGAUCACACACAUACAUACACUGAUACAAGCAUCCAUCGCCGAUCGCAUGAGCGUUGCACAGGCAACUCGACCAGAUCGACCGAUCCCUCGCGGUUAGCCGGAGCGAUGCCUUGCUUGGCGCACGAGUACCACCCCAGGCUCCCGGCCGCUAACCACUGCAAGUCCCUCUCCUGCCUCAUCCGGGAGACCUACGCCCACUGCCAUGUCCCCUGCCUCAGGACCCCCGGCGCCCGGUGGAGCUCCGACGACGACAGCGACGACGACGACGACAUGCUCGACACGAAACAGGUGAUACUCAACGAGAUGAGGAGGCGGCAGCUGAGGAAGGAGUCGCGGUGCGGCGCGGGCUCGCCGACUCUGUCCAGCGCCUUCGUGUGGUCUUUCACCCCGCUCGUUCUGGAGAAGGUGUCCAGCCCUGAGAAGUUCGUCGUGGUGGAAGGGGGGCAGAAGGGAGAGGCGGAGGCGGGCAGCGACGACGGCGACGCCGAGAGCGAGGCCUUCUUCUCGGUGAAGAGCUUCUUCACGCGCAGCACGAGCCGGGCGGCGACCGUGGCGUCGUUGACGGACAUGGGCCCGCCGGCGACGUGGGAGGGCUUCCGGGACUGCGAGGGGUGGCCGUUCGGGCUGUGCCGCCGCCCCGCCGUGCCGCCGCUGCCCAGCACGCCGGCCGACUCCUGGCAAUGGCGAAAGCAGAGCAGCGGCCGCAACCUCGCCGUCGCGACGAGCCCGCGCCCUGCAUACGGUCACAAGAUCACAGCGACUUGAGCGACGCCGCCGUUGACAAGCAAGAACCUUAAUGCCCUGGGUUGGAUUGGGUACAAAUUCUGCGUGCUCUCGGGUAUUCAGUUCAAAUUUGAGCUGAAUACUGGGCGCACACAGAAAUCACAGUCACGUUGAGACGGUUUCAGAGUGUUGUAAGUGGUCUCGUUGUCUCUUCUCCUUGGAAGAAUCUGCGGUUUAUCUCCAAGUGUUCGAGUGAUCUACGGUGAACUGUAGAGGCACAAACUAAAGCGAAGCAGGAGCGCACUUGCGCGCGCACGGUUGGCUAACUUCACUCGACGACUUGUCAGAUGACAUGACAUGACCAAAAGGGAAAGAGAACGGGAUGCCAAAGCGGCGGCAUCCGGGGAGGGACCGGCGGGGCACUCCGGCGCUCCACUGCGGUCGACAUUGUCGACAAUGCUGCGGCCUACGGCCAUCGGGCGAUGAUAUCGGAAUCCUGAUCCGGCGAGACCAAAUCCGGGCAAAUCGAUACGGUGUUGUACUGCGGAGUGUGUCAGAAUGCAGAGAGCCGGGUAAUGUGUGGGACUGUGCACGAGUCAGAGAGCCGACGGCCACAGCUUGGAUCGUGGGGCGAGGACUGAAGAUCAAGUAGCUCUGGUCACGGUGAACCUAAGACUGGACCCUACAAGAAAAAAAAACUGUCCAGAAGGCCUUACACAACAACAUGGAUUUCCACUUGCCGAUCUCCCCGCCAUGAGUGGAGAGUGCGUUGAUCUAGUUUGCUUUGGCGUUUUUGUCGAGCUCUAAGGUGUUCGGUUUGGUUGGGACGCGGCCUGCGUACUCUGUGUCUGUCUUCUUCGCCAUUGUUUGGCUUGAGUUUGAGCAAGGCGAGUUGUGUGUCGUUGUUGCCUUGGUGGAUGUGGUGUUAACCUUUUGGUGUAGCACUUUGCCGAAAGGC